ACAUAACCAAAAUCGUGUAAUAAUUUCUCAUACAUUGCUUAAUUGGGAUGUUUGAAUAUACCAUAGUGGCUUGCUCAACACCACGAGCAUCCCCAUAUUUUUAGAAUAAUUUUAUGUCGUCCCACGCACCCUCACGUGCAGGCCACAACAUGGCCAUACACGCCGGCCACGCGUGGGCACAUGCUUGGCAUGUUGGACAGAAACCCUAACGGCGUUAGGGAAUAUUCCGUUAAAUAGUAGCAUAAACCGUUAACUUUACCUGACAUCAUUAGUAUAUUUCGUCAAAGUUGACGGAAUAUGCCCCUUUCUUUUUCGGUGCUUCGCCGGGAUCCGUCACCAACCGCUGUUGUGUCACAGGAAACUGGAAAUUCUUAAAACCUUAAUUUCUACUUUGUUUCAACUCCAAAAUUUACAAAUUUUAUAUGGAAUUGAAUCCCUAAACUAUGAGAACAUAACCAUACCUCUUUGAGGUUCUAA
This 477-nucleotide long non-coding RNA is filed under the name Malus domestica (apple). Its description in RNAcentral is "long non-coding RNA (MDOM_LNC014931)". The record is from RNAcentral. Lineage: Eukaryota; Viridiplantae; Streptophyta; Magnoliopsida; Rosales; Rosaceae.